This 670-nucleotide ribosomal RNA is filed under the name Alcaligenes aquatilis. RNAcentral describes it as "bacterial SSU rRNA". It matches the Rfam family "Bacterial small subunit ribosomal RNA", at positions 61 to 719 of the family's 1533-position model. Lineage: Bacteria; Pseudomonadati; Pseudomonadota; Betaproteobacteria; Burkholderiales; Alcaligenaceae. The record is from RNAcentral.
GUCGAACGGCAGCGCGAGAAGAGCUUGCUCUCUUGGCGGCGAGUGGCGGACGGGUGAGUAAUAUAUCGGAACGUGCCCAGUAGCGGGGGAUAACUACUCGAAAGAGUGGCUAAUACCGCAUACGCCCUACGGGGGAAAGGGGGGGAUCGCAAGACCUCUCACUAUUGGAGCGGCCGAUAUCGGAUUAGCUAGUUGGUGGGGUAAAGGCUCACCAAGGCAACGAUCCGUAGCUGGUUUGAGAGGACGACCAGCCACACUGGGACUGAGACACGGCCCAGACUCCUACGGGAGGCAGCAGUGGGGAAUUUUGGACAAUGGGGGAAACCCUGAUCCAGCCAUCCCGCGUGUAUGAUGAAGGCCUUCGGGUUGUAAAGUACUUUUGGCAGAGAAGAAAAGGUAUCCCCUAAUACGGGAUACUGCUGACGGUAUCUGCAGAAUAAGCACCGGCUAACUACGUGCCAGCAGCCGCGGUAAUACGUAGGGUGCAAGCGUUAAUCGGAAUUACUGGGCGUAAAGCGUGUGUAGGCGGUUCGGAAAGAAAGAUGUGAAAUCCCAGGGCUCAACCUUGGAACUGCAUUUUUAACUGCCGAGCUAGAGUAUGUCAGAGGGGGGUAGAAUUCCACGUGUAGCAGUGAAAUGCGUAGAUAUGUGGAGGAAUACCGAUGGCGAA